AUACGGAGGGUGCAAGCGUUGUUCGGAAUCACUGGGCGUAAAGGGCGCGCAGGCGGUUUGGUAAGUCAGAUGUGAAAGCCACGGCUCAACCGUGGAAGUGCAUUUGAAACUGUCAGACUUGAGUACUAGAGGGGAAAGUGGAAUUCCCGGUGUAGAGGUGAAAUUCGUAGAUAUCGGGAGGAAUACCGGUGGCGAAGGCGACUUUCUGGCUAGAUACUGACGCUGAGGCGCGAAAGCGUGGGGAGCAAACAGAAUUAGAAACCCUAGUAGUCC
This 273-nucleotide ribosomal RNA is filed under the name uncultured bacterium. RNAcentral's name for it is "partial 16S ribosomal RNA". It matches the Rfam family "Bacterial small subunit ribosomal RNA", at positions 523 to 796 of the family's 1533-position model. The record is from RNAcentral.